Long non-coding RNA from Callithrix jacchus (white-tufted-ear marmoset), 3151 nucleotides. RefSeq lists it as uncharacterized. The record is from RefSeq and is a predicted model, not a curated record. Lineage: Eukaryota; Metazoa; Chordata; Mammalia; Primates; Cebidae.
GUGAGCGUCGGGAGCGGGAGCCAAAGCCGUCUGGGGCUGAAAGGCGGGACUUCCUGCUUCGCUUACCUUCCUAGUCUUUUGUUUCAUAGCAACAGAGUAGUGGCUGGAAGGGUGUUGCUUCUCUACUCUGGGCGGGUCCAAAGCUGGAGAAAUUCAUCUCCCUAGGGCUGCCAAACCCUUCUACCCAGGACAGCAGCCAAACAGGUCUAUGACGUUGCUUUUUGUUGGCUAUCAAAAAAGAGCGACAGCCACCGAGCUUCUAAAAUGCAAAAUAAACCUCACAGACAGGAGGCUAGGGGUGACACCUCACUGCCAACUAGAACUGCCUAAGUUUCUGAGUGUUUCUCCUUUGCUGUUAGUUUUAGAGGGAUUGCAGACCAAACAUCAGGCUGACGACAAAGCAAAUAGUUGACAACGCUGGCCAAAUAGUCUCUGCUAAUCAUGCCAGAGCAAUAAAAGUACCAGGUGGACUUUCCGCAAGCAUGGAAGUGAUCUUUCUCCUUGGCUCUCCAAUAAGAUUGUCACUAGCCACAUAACACAGAUGUGAUGGCUGGCAGCGUAGGAUCAAGCUUGCAACCAUGAUGAAAGACUGCAUGUUUAAGAUGGUGGGAGCAGAAAAACAGCAGCCUGGGGAUCUGACAUCACGAAUAUGCUGCACCAUUCUGGACCACUACCCUCAGCUAACUUAUGAUAUGAGAAAAGUGGGUAACCUACAUGAUUAAGCACCUAUAGGUUGUGUUCUCUGUUGAAUGUAAUAAAAUACAAACCUAAUUCAAAACUCUGUACAACUACAAGCAUUAUGAGCCUUGAUCUUUAAUUAUUUGGCUGGUAAGAGCAAUAAUACAAUGUAAGAUAACAAUAUGUAAAAAUGGAAAAGGAAAAUAAUAUGUGUGUGUUAAAUAUCUUCUAGUAUAAGUUAUAACUUCAGCAAUUUUGAAAAUUUAUAGUCAUUCUAAAAUAAUGUGUCUUUAAUGACCACAGGCAGGCCGCUAAUUCGUCAGGUAAAUAGUUAACUUGUUCCUAAUUUGCUUGUCAAAUCCAAAGCAGACUGACAGAAAUCAUUAAAGUCCCUGGGCUAAAUUAUUCAAAUUAGAAGUGUUGGUGUAUAAAGAAAAUUGACAUUUUACUCGGUUUGGUAAUUAUCCCUUCACAUGAUAGAAACAUACAACAAUUGAAUUUUUAGUGUGUGUUACAAACAGCAUUUGAAAACAUUUACUAAUCAACAAAUUUAUAUAUGAAAAAAGUGGGAUUGACUAUAAAAAGGAAAAUUAAUUAUUGUUUCAUGAUACAUUCAACAUUACCUUUUAAAAUAAAAUAUUUAUUUUGUGAUCUACUACCUUUUGAUAUUGUAUGUAAGUAAAAAUUAUCAUUUCUAAUGAAAAUUAGAAUAAGAUUCAAUUUCUACCAUAAGAAAGUCCUUUUAUAAAAAAUAUUCUGGAACAGCUCCUGUGCCUAUUUCCUCAUGUAUAAUAUACUUACAAGAAUAUUUCUUAGCCCAUAGGGUUGUCGAAUUAUAUAUAUUAAGCAUAUCAAAGAAUAUAUUAUCUGUCUCAAAGUAACCAAAUAUUAAUAAAAUAUUGUUAUUAUCAUUGCUGGGAAGGUAGAUAUGAUGAUAUAUCCGUGAAAAUUCUUAUUUUCCUUCUGUAGUAUUGAGUUUUUGCUGGGAAGUGGCUGCCUAGCUAGCAACUGUAUACUACUCUUGCAACACCAUGGGUUGUGUGAGCAGUUGUUGCUUGUGGAAUUUGAGUGGCAGUGGUAUACACUGCAUCACUACUGGGCCAGUGUAUUUACAAAAUGUGUAGAUGUGCCGCCCCUAUGCUCUUUUCUCCCACUUUGUCAAAUAUAUGUGGAGGAGCUCCGAGACUUCAUGAGGUGAAGCAACAAAGGGGAAUAAUUGUAAGUCCUUGAAUCACCACACAUUGGAAAACCACUUACAUAGGGAUGAUUAACACAGGAAUCAGAGUGUGACACAUGUAAGAAACGAACUUCUAUGAUGUGAAAAGACUAACAUGUAAACGUUAACUUAUUAUUUGUUAGUCAACUGUUUAAAUGUUUUAUAAGUGAUUUAAUAAAAUUCAUAUCAUGUUGACCACCUACAUGAAGAGCAAAAUUCUGAUUUUUCUAUGGGUUUCCUAUGAUAUUCUGAUAUGUAUGUAUUUUUUAAUUAAGGCUUAGAGUCAAUUUUAACCUCAUUACAUUCUUUCAUCCAUAUUUGAAAACUUUACAUUCUAUGAAGUUCUCUUAUUAAACCCAAUUAAUUUCUGUGGGUUUGAAACUUAAUUAUUGAAGCCAGAAAAUGCAUUGCAGAAGCUAUUAUAAUUCAAGAUAUAUUUUUUUGUACAUGAUGGUCAUAAUGAAUAUUUACAAUUUAAAAACAAAUUAAAAGGAAGGAUGCUCUAGUAAUUGAUCUUCUACUACUUUUUCUGGUGGCCAGUAUUCUGUUAAUGUAAGUUGAACCUCUUUCAAUUGACAUUUCCCCGAAGUCAUAUUAUCUGUGAUUUUAGUUGUGACAUUAUGAUCAGAAACAAUAGCUAUUUUAUUUAUACAAAUGCUUAUAAUUUGAUUUUAAAACUUCUGUAACCCUAUUAUUAAAAGUAAGAUGGAUACAAUUUAAACUGCAAAAGUUGCACUAGUACCAUGUAUCUCAGUUUCCCUAAUAUUUGAAAAAUAAAAGUAGAGAAAUAAUCUGAUCUACUUUAUUAUAUACUUAGAUCCUUGAAUGCAAGGGUACAUAUAUGUAUACACUUCACACAUAUAUACACAUAAAUAUGUCCACAGAUGUAUUUUUAAUCUUCUAUUUGACUUAUAGAGAUUGUAAAUAGUUUAUUUGCCCAAUUAGACCCCAUUUAUAUACUUUUUCCGUUUUCAAAGCUAGCUGUGGACUCAUAUAUGACCCUUGACAUAUGUGUGUCUGUGUUAUGUGUUUAUGUGUCUGCAUACAUGGUUGUUCAUUUGUAGAUAGAAAAGGAUAGAUAAGGCCCCUUACUCAACAUGUCUGAGUGCUCAUACUUCCUGAAGACACUUGUUAUAGAGUAGAGAAAAACACCAAUCUCUGUCUUAAAAUAUCUUAAAGUAUUGAAAUAUUUUUCUUUGAAAAUAAUUAGUGCUCAUCUUAAAGGCAUGGUGAUACUGGUUUUUGCACUAAAAACUA